GGAUUAGAGUUCCAUGCAUACGUCGCAGCUACCAGCAGUCGAGCGGUAGCACAGGGGAGCUUGCUCCCCUGGGUGACGAGCGGCGGACGGGUGAGUAAUGUCUGGGAAACUGCCUGAUGGAGGGGGAUAACUACUGGAAACGGUAGCUAAUACCGCAUAACGUCGCAAGACCAAAGAGGGGGACCUUCGGGCCUCUUGCCAUCAGAUGUGCCCAGAUGGGAUUAGCUAGUAGGUGGGGUAAUGGCUCACCUAGGCGACGAUCCCUAGCUGGUCUGAGAGGAUGACCAGCCACACUGGAACUGAGACACGGUCCAGACUCCUACGGGAGGCAGCAGUGGGGAAUAUUGCACAAUGGGCGCAAGCCUGAUGCAGCCAUGCCGCGUGUGUGAAGAAGGCCUUCGGGUUGUAAAGCACUUUCAGCGAGGAGGAAGGUGGUGAGCUUAAUACGCUCAUCAAUUGACGUUACUCGCAGAAGAAGCACCGGCUAACUCCGUGCCAGCAGCCGCGGUAAUACGGAGGGUGCAAGCGUUAAUCGCAAUUACUGGGCGUAAAGCGCACGCAGGCGGUUUGUUAAGUCAGAUGUGAAAUCCCCGGGGCUCACCUGGGAACUGCAUUUGAAACUGGCAAGCUAGAGUCUCGUAGAGGGGGGUAGAAUUCCAGGUGUAGCGGUGAAAUGCGAAAGAUCUGGAGGAAUACCGGUGGCGAAGGCGGCCCCCUGGACGAAGACUGACGCUCAGGUGCGAAGCGUGGGGAGCAAACAGGAAUAGAUACCCUGGUAGUCCACACUGUAAACGAUGUCGAUUGGAGUUGUGCCCUUUGAGCGUGGCUUCCGGAGCUAACGCGUUAAAUCGAUCCGCCUGGGGAGUACGGGCCGCAGGUCAAAACUAUAAUUGAUCUGACUGGAGGGGCUCCCGCACCAAG
This 921-nucleotide ribosomal RNA is filed under the name Serratia marcescens. RNAcentral's name for it is "bacterial SSU rRNA". It matches the Rfam family "Bacterial small subunit ribosomal RNA", at positions 21 to 929 of the family's 1533-position model. The record is from RNAcentral. Lineage: Bacteria; Pseudomonadati; Pseudomonadota; Gammaproteobacteria; Enterobacterales; Yersiniaceae.